RNAcentral lists this unclassified non-coding RNA (378 nucleotides) under plant metagenome. Its description in RNAcentral is "partial contains 5.8S ribosomal RNA, internal transcribed spacer 2, and large subunit ribosomal RNA". The stretch from base 1 to 105 matches the Rfam family "5.8S ribosomal RNA", at positions 50 to 154 of the family's 154-position model. The record is from RNAcentral.
GAAAUGCGAUAAGUAAUGUGAAUUGCAGAAUUCAGUGAAUCAUCGAAUCUUUGAACGCACCUUGCGCUCCUUGGUAUUCCUUGGAGCAUGCCUGUUUGAGUAUCAUGAAAUCUUCAAAGUAAAUCUUUUGUUAACUCAAUUGGUUUCUACUUUGGUAUUGGAGGUCUUUGCAGCUUCACACCUGCUCCUCUUUGUUCAUUAGCUGGAUCUCAGUGUUAUGCUUGGUUCCACUCGACGUGAUAAGUUAUCUAUCGCUGAGGACACUGUAAAAGGUGGCCAAGGUAAAUGCAGAUGAACCGCUUCUAAUAGUCCAUUGACUUGGACAAUACUUUUAUGAUCUGAUCUCAAAUCAGGUAGGACUACCCGCUGAACUUGAGC